This 374-nucleotide ribosomal RNA is filed under the name uncultured organism. RNAcentral's name for it is "bacterial SSU rRNA". It matches the Rfam family "Bacterial small subunit ribosomal RNA", at positions 526 to 896 of the family's 1533-position model. The record is from RNAcentral.
CGUAGGGGGCGAGCGUUGUCCGGAUUUAUUGGGCGUAAAGAGCUCGUAGGCGGUUCGAUAAGUCGGAUGUGAAAUCUCCACGCUCAACGUGGAGGGGCCAUUCGAUACUGUCGUGACUCGAGUCCGGUAGGGGAGUGUGGAAUUCCCGGUGUAGCGGUGAAAUGCGCAGAGAUCGGGAGGAACACCCGUAGCGAAGGCGGCACUCUGGGCCGGUACUGACGCUGAGGAGCGAAAGCGUGGGGAGCAAACAGGAUUAGAUACCCUGGUAGUCCACGCCGUAAACGUUGGGCACUAGGUGUGGGACUCUAUCGACGGGUUCCGUGCCGUAGCUAACGCAUUAAGUGCCCCGCCUGGGGAGUACGGCCGCAAGGCUA